This 253-nucleotide ribosomal RNA is filed under the name uncultured bacterium. RNAcentral describes it as "partial 16S ribosomal RNA". It matches the Rfam family "Bacterial small subunit ribosomal RNA", at positions 524 to 776 of the family's 1533-position model. The record is from RNAcentral.
UACGGGGGGGGCAAGCGUUGUUCGGAAUUACUGGGCGUAAAGGGCGCGUAGGCGGUUUGCUAAGUUGGAUGUGAAAACUCUGGGCUUAACCCAGAGCCUGCAUCCAAAACUGGCAAACUUGAGUACUGGAGGGGAAAGCGGAAUUCCUGGUGUAGCGGUGAAAUGCGUAGAUAUCAGGAGGAACACCGAUGGCGAAGGCAGGUCUCUGGGCCACUACUGACGCUGAGAAGCGAAAGCAUGGGGAGCGAACAGG